AGUGAACGCUGGCGGUAGGCCUAACACAUGCAAGUCGAACGGCAGCACAGUAAGAGCUUGCUCUUACGGGUGGCGAGUGGCGGACGGGUGAGGAAUACAUCGGAAUCUACUUUUUCGUGGGGGAUAACGUAGGGAAACUUACGCUAAUACCGCAUACGACCUACGGGUGAAAGCAGGGGAUCUUCGGACCUUGCGCGAUUGAAUGAGCCGAUGUCGGAUUAGCUAGUUGGCGGGGUAAAGGCCCACCAAGGCGACGAUCCGUAGCUGGUCUGAGAGGAUGAUCAGGCAAACUGGAACUGAGACACGGUCCAGACUACUACGGGAGGCAGCAGUGGGGAAUAUUGGACAAUGGGCGCAAGCCUGAUCCAGCCAUACCGCGUGAGUGAAGAAGGCCGUCGGGUUGUAAAGCCAUUUUGUUGGGAAAGAAAAGCAGCAGGUUAAUACCCCGCUGUUCUGACGGUACCCAAAGAAUAAGCACCGGCUAACUUCGUG
RNAcentral lists this ribosomal RNA (492 nucleotides) under uncultured bacterium. RNAcentral describes it as "partial 16S ribosomal RNA". It matches the Rfam family "Bacterial small subunit ribosomal RNA", at positions 29 to 507 of the family's 1533-position model. The record is from RNAcentral.